AGAGACAAAAAAAAGAUUAAUUACAAGAGGCGGGCCUCCACGUGAUGUAUCGGCGGUCGACCAAUCGAGCACAUUCUCAGGAUAUCAGCUGACCAUUCUGGAGAUCUCAUCAUUUUGACCAUCAUUGAAGACACUGGAGUGGGGAUGAGUGGACGUGUUGGAAAAUGCCCCUGUGUUAUCCACUGUAUUUUUUCUUAUUCAGAAGUACAGUAGGUAGCAGAAAGGCAAAGAGGCAGGCGUGCGGAGGUCCGAUGGAGAAAAUAUAUAAAAGCUCUACAUGACAGUAUCGACAACAGUCACAAGAAAGACCUGAACUUGGACGGUAGUCAGAUGACCAGCAACAACAGCUUUAAAAUACAACCUACUAGUCUAUCACCUCAGCAAAACGGGAACCAAUGUAUAUGUAGUCUUGACAAUCAGUCUAUAGUUCCAGGACUGGUUCUGUGGUACUAAUAGCCAUGCAUACAACUUGUUACAAGAUUGACAGAAAUACAAAACAGAGAGUUUAUCCUUGAAUGUAUUACCAAGAUUCACUGUUACAGACAAACAUCCAAAGUUAUAAAGCAAAAAGAAAUGUCCUGUUCUGCAAGCUUUAUAUAGUGGAUAUAUUUGUGUCUUCAGAUGUAAUAAAAGUAUGUUUGAUGUGUACGUUGAUGAAAUAAAGGUAUAGAUAAUUGUG
Molecule: long non-coding RNA, 679 nt
Organism: Branchiostoma floridae (Florida lancelet)
Lineage: Eukaryota; Metazoa; Chordata; Leptocardii; Amphioxiformes; Branchiostomatidae
Exons: 2
Source: RefSeq, a predicted model, not a curated record